AGAGAGAGACAUGCGCGCAUAUCAAUAAGCGGAGGAAAAGAAACUAACUAGGAUUCCCUUAGUAACGGCGAGUGAAGCGGGAAGAGCUCAAAUUUGAAAUCUUCAAGGUUCUACCUUGACGAAUUGUAGUUUAAAGAAGUGUUUUCUGUUGGAGUUUUCGGUAAAAGUUCUUUGGAAUAGGACAUCAUAGAGGGUGAGAAUCCCGUAUUUGACCAUUACUUUCCAACUUUGUGAUACACUUUCAAAGAGUCGGAUUGUUUGGGAAUGCAGUCCAAAAUGGGUGGUAAAUUUCAUCUAAAGCUAAAUAUUGGCGAGAGACCGAUAGCGAACAAGUACCGUGAGGGAAAGAUGAAAGGAACUUUGAAAAGAGAGUUAAACAGUACGUGAAAUUGUCAAAAGGGAAGCGUUUGACACCAGUGUUGUUUUUCCGAAAAUCAAUUACGAAUGUUUUGUUUUUGAGGAGUUAUGACUUCAUCGGCUUGCUCCUUUCUUUACGAAACUUUCUUAAUGCACUUUUCGGUUAACAAGUCAACAUCAAUUUCUUUUGUUGUAAAAGGGUAUGAGGAAGGUGGCUUUCUUUUCGGAGAAAGUGUUUAUAGCCUUGUACCUCUGCAAUCGGAGAGAUUGAGGUCUGCAGCGUAGAUCCCUUCGGGGUUAGAUACAUUUGUGCUAAGUUAUAGCUUUUCAUAGACAACUUGUUGACUAUGUUUAGUCUUGUAGCUUACUCGCUUUAUGUAUUUUACCUACGCUUAGGAUGUUGAUCUGUAGUGCGUGCGC
This 777-nucleotide ribosomal RNA is filed under the name uncultured Neocallimastigales. RNAcentral describes it as "partial large subunit ribosomal RNA". It matches the Rfam family "Eukaryotic large subunit ribosomal RNA", at positions 23 to 647 of the family's 3401-position model. Lineage: Eukaryota; Fungi; Neocallimastigomycota; Neocallimastigomycetes; Neocallimastigales. The record is from RNAcentral.